Molecule: small RNA, 102 nt
Filed under: Sinorhizobium meliloti 2011
Lineage: Bacteria; Pseudomonadati; Pseudomonadota; Alphaproteobacteria; Hyphomicrobiales; Rhizobiaceae
Description: putative ncRNA
Source: RNAcentral
AACGUUCCGCCUCGCUUGCGGCGGAACAGGGGAUGGUUCGGCCCGGCAGCAUCGAGGGGCUGGGGCUGAGGGUUCGAAGUUACCGGACCGAACCAGCCAUGU